This 345-nucleotide long non-coding RNA is filed under the name Setaria italica (foxtail millet). RNAcentral's name for it is "long non-coding RNA (SITA_LNC003214)". Lineage: Eukaryota; Viridiplantae; Streptophyta; Magnoliopsida; Poales; Poaceae. The record is from RNAcentral.
AAGAAUGAGGCUUCUGCAGUUAAAAGGAUUUACGUCCUCGUUGGUGACGGUAGCAGGUACGAACUGAACUGAACAUAUAUUAUUAAGUUUUUUUGAUGAAGUUAAUAGAUUGUUACUCGUCGUACUAUUUUUGAGCCCAUCAGCUCAAGAAACUGGAUGCAAGUGCAACUGGACAGUGGGUGUCACUGUGUGAGCAUAGCACAAGGCUACGUUUCAACAGCUUACUUGGAACAGUAGUAUAAAACAAGAUGCUCAUCUCCAGCUCUAAAGCCUCACGGCUCUGCCAGGCCAAAGAAAACUAACACAUGGGGCCUCCUUUCUCUCUCUCAUCAUGGAAACAACCAC